AUGCCGCGGUGAAUACGUUCCCGGGCCUUGUACACACCGCCCGUCACACCACGAGAGUCGGCAACACCCGAAGUCGGUGAGGUAACCCCGAAAGGGGAGCCAGCCGCCGAAGGUGGGGUCGAUGAUUGGGGUGAAGUCGUAACAAGGUAGCCGUACCGGAAGGUGCGGCUGGAUCACCUCCUUUCU
This 186-nucleotide ribosomal RNA is filed under the name Alicyclobacillus acidocaldarius subsp. acidocaldarius DSM 446. RNAcentral's name for it is "partial 16S ribosomal RNA". It matches the Rfam family "Bacterial small subunit ribosomal RNA", at positions 1354 to 1533 of the family's 1533-position model. Lineage: Bacteria; Bacillati; Bacillota; Bacilli; Caryophanales; Alicyclobacillaceae. The record is from RNAcentral.